CGCCGGGACCUGUGCGACGGACGCGGGUGAAUCAUGUCAGGGCCGGAAGGCAGCAGCAUUAAGCCAUGCCGGACGGGCGCCGCAGAUCACCUGGCCGGG
This 99-nucleotide signal recognition particle RNA is filed under the name Kiritimatiellia bacterium. RNAcentral describes it as "Kiritimatiellae bacterium (wastewater metagenome) signal recognition particle sRNA small type". It matches the Rfam family "Bacterial small signal recognition particle RNA". Rfam says of the family: The signal recognition particle (SRP) is a universally conserved ribonucleoprotein involved in the co-translational targeting of proteins to membranes. Archaeal SRP consists of a 7S RNA and homologues of the eukaryotic SRP19 and SRP54 proteins. In most bacteria, the SRP consists of a 4.5S RNA and the Ffh protein (a homologue of the eukaryotic SRP54 protein). Lineage: Bacteria; Pseudomonadati; Kiritimatiellota; Kiritimatiellia. The record is from RNAcentral.